Non-coding RNA from Cinara cedri, 591 nucleotides. NCBI's taxonomy places the organism in Eukaryota, Metazoa, Arthropoda, Insecta, Hemiptera, Aphididae. The record is from the annotation of a GenBank genome assembly.
AAAUGUAUAGUUCCAGUGGCUUAUUGUUGUUGAAUUUUUAAUACAAGUGACAGAAUAUUUUAUUUUUUUUAAAUACUUUCUUAUACCGGCCAUUUCCGUAUACAGAGUGGAUCACGGGAAUAUAUUAUAGUGGUGAAAACAGAUGAAUAUAAUUUAGGACAUUUUAGACGCACAACUAUUUUGUUUUUAUUUUUUGGUAGGAAAAGUGCCAUUUUAAGUUUUAAAAACAACAUAAUCGAGCGUAUGACGACCACCUUGUUCCUAGAACAAAGCAAGUCGAAUUUGUCGUGGAUUUCUUUGUAACUACAAAUCAGUCAUUUUAGCGCUAUGCAGCGCGUCCUUCGUGGAGACUUUUCAGAGUAUAUAAUAUAGAAGCAGAAUUUGCUCGUUCGCAAAACCAUUAAAAUUUAAAAUGCCUUUCAUCAAUCAUUAUCAUUAGAGUAUCAUCAUUUAUCUCGAAUAAAGAGAACGUCCUCUACGGCUAAUUCAUUAGUUUUAGAUUUAUAGUUUUCUCAUAAAUAUGUCGUGAUAUGGUGGUAACUAAACAGGAUUGUCUGACAAACCAAACGAGUUCUUUCAGAACUCCCCGCU